GACGAACGCUGGCGGCGUGCCUAAUACAUGCAAGUUGAGCGCUGAAGGUUGGUACUUGUACCGACUGGAUGAGCAGCGAACGGGUGAGUAACGCGUGGGGAAUCUGCCUUUGAGCGGGGGACAACAUUUGGAAACGAAUGCUAAUACCGCAUAAAAACUUUAAACACAAGUUUUAAGUUUCAAAGAUGCAAUUGCAUCACUCAAAGAUGAUCCCGCGUUGUAUUAGCUAGUUGGUGAGGUAAAGGCUCACCAAGGCGAUGAUACAUAGCCGACCUGAGAGGGUGAUCGGCCACAUUGGGACUGAGACACGGCCCAAACUCCUACGGGAGGCAGCAGUAGGGAAUCUUCGGCAAUGGACGAAAGUCUGACCGAGCAACGCCGCGGGAGUGAAGAAGGUUUUCGGAUCGUAAAACUCUGUUGGUAGAGAAGAACGUUGGUGAGAGUGGAAAGCUCAUCAAGUGACGGUAACUACCCAGAAAGGGACGGCUAACUACGUG
RNAcentral lists this ribosomal RNA (497 nucleotides) under uncultured bacterium. Its description in RNAcentral is "partial 16S ribosomal RNA". It matches the Rfam family "Bacterial small subunit ribosomal RNA", at positions 28 to 507 of the family's 1533-position model. The record is from RNAcentral.